GUGAAUCAUCGAAUUUUUGAACGCAAAUUGCGCUCUCCUCGGAGAGUAUGCGUGUUUGAGGGUCAGCCUAUAAAAAAUCGACAUCGUUGCUGUUUCCUGGUGACGUUCGUCGGAAACCGGGUCAUCUUAAAUCUUUUGGGUUUAAGCGACUUAAAAUUCUUUUUUUGAUUCUAUGAACGUGUUUUUAAGAUUUAUUUCUUUAUACGCUUAAGGUAUCGAUUUUUAUUAGACGUGACA
Molecule: unclassified non-coding RNA, 237 nt
Filed under: Glomus sp.
Lineage: Eukaryota; Fungi; Glomeromycota; Glomeromycetes; Glomerales; Glomeraceae
Description: partial contains 5.8S ribosomal RNA and internal transcribed spacer 2
Rfam family: 5.8S ribosomal RNA (bases 1-65)
Source: RNAcentral